This 253-nucleotide ribosomal RNA is filed under the name uncultured bacterium. Its description in RNAcentral is "partial 16S ribosomal RNA". It matches the Rfam family "Bacterial small subunit ribosomal RNA", at positions 524 to 776 of the family's 1533-position model. The record is from RNAcentral.
UACGUAGGUGACCAGCGUUGUCCGGAUUUACUGGGCGUAAAGAGCGCGCAGGCGGUCAGAUAAGUCGAAUGUGAAAGCCCCUGGCUCAACUGGGGAGGGUCAUUCGAUACUGUUCGACUCGAAGGCAGGAGAGGGAAGUGGAAUUCCCGGUGUAGUGGUGAAAUGCGUAGAUAUCGGAAGGAACAUCAGUGGCGAAAGCGGCUUCCUGGACCAGUACCGACGUUCAGGCACGAAAGCGUGGGGAGCAAACAGG